This 253-nucleotide ribosomal RNA is filed under the name uncultured bacterium. RNAcentral describes it as "partial 16S ribosomal RNA". It matches the Rfam family "Bacterial small subunit ribosomal RNA", at positions 524 to 776 of the family's 1533-position model. The record is from RNAcentral.
UACGUAGGGGGCUAGCGUUGUCCGGAUUUAUUGGGUUUAAAGGGUGCGUAGGUGGUCUGAUAAGUCUGGUUUGAAAGUUGGUCGCUUAACGAUCAAGGGUGGCUGGAUACUGUUGGACUUGAAUAUUGUGGAGGUAGCCGGAAUGGGUUGUGUAGCGGUGAAAUGCAUAGAGAUGACCCGGAACACCGAUUGCGAAGGCAGGCUACUACGCAAUGAUUGACACUGAGGCACGAGAGCAUGGGGAGCAAACAGG